Molecule: long non-coding RNA, 2182 nt
Organism: Carassius gibelio (silver crucian carp)
Lineage: Eukaryota; Metazoa; Chordata; Actinopteri; Cypriniformes; Cyprinidae
Exons: 4
Source: RefSeq, a predicted model, not a curated record
CUGGCUCAAUGCUCAGCAAGCAUCUUUAAGCUAUAAUCAGGCUUGUUUAUUUUUGCAUCUACUGGUGGUGGUUCAUUAUGUUUCCUCAUACCUACUUGUUUUGGUCCUACGUGGCUGUUGUGGCCUACACUAGAGGUCUUCACAGUGCACCCGAGACCCGUCGACCCCGGACCCCACCCGGGACCCGUACGGGUUCGGGUCUAUAUUUUAAAUCAUCAGCCGGGUCCGGGUCGGGUCCGAAUCUAUUACCUCGGGUCCCGGGUCUGUUUAACAUUGUGUGUAAUACCCGUGCGAUCGCCGAUCGAAGAACAUCUGACAUCUGACUCGAAGAACAUCCGGCCGUGAUCAAAGACUGCUUGUGUUUUUUGUAACUUGCAACUUGUAAAAUUAGGAAAAGAAAAGAGUGAGCCAAAAAAAAGUGAUCUCUCUCUCUCUCUCUCUUGCUCGCACACUCAGAGUUAAUAUACAAGUGCAUACUUGACACACUCAUAUUUAAUAUAUUUCAAAUCAGCAACACAAUCUGAGGUGAACUGUCUCAUGAAUGUUUUCUAUUACGCUCAAAUUGCGUUGAAGCAUUUUAGGUUGAUACAGCUAGCACGCAUGUGCAGUCUCAAGCGCAUUUCAUGUUUCUAUGGCAACCAGUGAGGGACACUUGGACUGCCAAACCGCGUUUUACAUAUUUCUCCCAUUUUUAUAAUAUUAUAAAUGAACCGUUUAUUCUUAAAGUUUUAGUGGUUCAGAUUCAAACUCGAUGCAGAGCAGAGAGCACAGACAGAGAUCAGAUGAUAGUAAAUAAAUAACGUCAGCGGCAUGGCAUUGCACGAGCGAUCGUUAUUAUAGUUCAAAAGGGCAAACAGUCUAAGUUAUUAAGCGAAUUAACUCGAGUCAGAAUGUACAUGUGCACAGUAGCAUUUGUCAUCCUUCACCGUGACAUCAAGUGGACUUCUGAAGCUGAAAUAAUGAGUGGAUUCAGCUUGGACUUGGAAUAACGAGAUGAAAAACAUGGAUAACUUUCUUGUCGGAGGAUUGUAAUGCAUCACAAGCAGUCGGGUACAAGGAAGAGAGACUACGGCUCUUUAAAUUAGUUGCCAGAUGCUGUCCUGUUGGAAAUUCUUCUUUACGUGAUCCUGGAGGAGGGGUGAUGCUACAUUACUAAGUCUGUCUUUGGUUUGUUCCAAAUUCAGAAGUCUGCUGUACUGUAUACAGACUCCUUUCGAAAGAGGGCACAAUCCAGCUGGCUUGACGGAGUAUCUUCUUUUACAUAUUUGAUUAGAGGUUUAAAAAGGUGGAACAAAAUGGAGAACAAGUCUGAGCCAUGUCAGGAAUUCAACAAAAUGUACACCCUGCAGACACUGCGACGAGGUUUACAACAACUGCUUACCAGGUCACUGCAGUCACCCGGAUCGAGUACGUAUCCAGACCAGAUGGUGGAUCGCACCUAGAAAGGACCUCUACUGCCCUGAAAGACAGCGGAGACCAGGACAACUAGAGCCCCAGAUACAGAUCCCCUGUAAAGACCUUGUUUUUUCUCCAUUUUGUCACUGGUGGAGUUUUGGUUCCUUGUCGCCUCUGGCUUGCUUUGUUGUGGUCACUUAAUUUACAGUGAUAUCAUUGACAUGAAUGCAAACGAUUCCACAGAUACUAUUUAAACUGAACCGAGUUGAAGGAUGACAUCACUGAAUUGAAUGAUAAACUGUCUUUUAAACUGACUACAAACUGAGCUUACUAAUGUCCUUCUGCAUUAUUGACUGACACACUAUUUUCCUAUUUAAUACUGUAAAGUUGCUUUGCUUUGAUCUGUAUUAUUAAAACCACUAUAUAAAUAAAUUAUGCUUGACUUGACCAUGUUGCAAGAGGAAAAUGAGGUGAGAUGCACAUCCACUCUGGGUUUUACAGUGAUUGGUGCAAGAUGCUGGAGAAGUAACUCUGUAUACCUCAUCAGUUCUGAUCUAAGAGUCUUGAAAAUACCUCCGGAUUGUUGUUAGUGAUUCUGAUUGAUAUUUUAGUCUGCUUGCUUACUGGAUAUAUUUUAUACUGUUUACAUUGUAAAGCACUGACUUUGACAACUUACUAACCCAGUUACAAAUUUAACAGCUACUUUAUACUAUAUAUAUAGUUGUUUCUUGAAAUACUACAAAUAUAACUGCAAAUUAUGAUUUUAAAUAAAGGUCUCUGAGACUUC